This 495-nucleotide ribosomal RNA is filed under the name uncultured bacterium. RNAcentral's name for it is "partial 16S ribosomal RNA". It matches the Rfam family "Bacterial small subunit ribosomal RNA", at positions 28 to 507 of the family's 1533-position model. The record is from RNAcentral.
GACGAACGCUGGCGGCGUGCCUAAUACAUGCAAGUAGAACGCUGAAGGAGGAGCUUGCUUCUCUGGAUGAGUUGCGAACGGGUGAGUAACGCGUAGGUAGCCUGCCUGGUAGCGGGGGAUAACUAUUGGAAACGAUAGCUAAUACCGCAUAAUAGUAGAUGUUGCAUGACAUUUGUUUAAAAGUUGCAAUUGCUUCACUACCAGAUGGACCUGCGUUGUAUUAGCUAGUGGUAGGGGUACCGCCUCACCAAGGCGAGGAUACAUAGCCGACCGGAUAGGGGGAUCAGCCACACUGGGACUGUGACACGGCCCAUACGCCUUCGGGAGGCAGCAGGAGGGAAUCGUCAGCAAUAGACGGAAGUCUGACCGAGCAACGCCGCGUGAGUGAAGAAGGUUUUCGGAUCGUAAAGCUCGGUUGUAAGAGAAGAACGAGUGUGAGAGUGGAAAGUUCACACUGUGACGGUAACUUACCAGAAAGGGACGGCUAACUACGUG